This 262-nucleotide ribosomal RNA is filed under the name uncultured archaeon. RNAcentral describes it as "partial 16S ribosomal RNA". It matches the Rfam family "Archaeal small subunit ribosomal RNA", at positions 719 to 982 of the family's 1478-position model. The record is from RNAcentral.
ACGUCUACAUUAGAUACCCGGGUAGUCCCAGCUGUAAACUAUGCGCGUUAGGUGUAUCGGUGACCACGAGUUACCGAGGUGCCGAAGGGAAACCGUGAAACGUGCCGCCUGGGAAGUACGGUCGCAAGGCUGAAACUUAAAGGAAUUGGCGGGGAGCACCACAACGGGUGGAGCCUGCGGUUUAAUUGGACUCAACGCCGGGAAGCUCACCGGAUAAGACAGCGGAAUGAUUGCCGGGCUGAAGACUCUGCAUGACUAGCUG